AUGAUAGCCUACUUCGAAGAGAAAGCAAAAGCAGAUAGUGAUUUCUUCUACAGGAUAAGGUUGGACGAUGAGGACCGUGUCAAAAACAUGUAUUGGGUGGAUGGUGCUGCAAGAAGAGCCUACAAACAUUUCCAUGAUUGCAUUUUGUUCGACGCAACAUAUCUCAUGAAUAUGUACAAGAUGUCAUGUGCUCCAUUCAUAGGAAUAAACAACCACAAUCAGUCCUUGCAGUUUGGUUGCAGUCUCAUUCAGAAUGAAGAUACCGAUGGUUACACUUGGCUAUUCAAAACCUUCUUGGAGUGCAUGGAUGGACUAGCUCCGAUGAACAUAAUAACGGACCAGGAUUUUAGCAUGCGCGCAGGCAUAGAGGAGGUCUUUCCGUUGGCAGUGCAUAGGCACUAUAGGUGGCAUAUUAUUAAGAAGGUUGAAGAGACGCUAGGACCAUUAUUCGCUGACCAUCCAGAGCUACACAAGGCAUUCGAGUUGUGUGUGGACCACAGCUUGACGGUGGAGGAGUUUGAAUGGAGCUAG
RNAcentral lists this ribosomal RNA (531 nucleotides) under Triticum aestivum (bread wheat). Its description in RNAcentral is "partial small subunit ribosomal RNA". Lineage: Eukaryota; Viridiplantae; Streptophyta; Magnoliopsida; Poales; Poaceae. The record is from RNAcentral.